RNAcentral lists this transfer RNA (61 nucleotides) under Cermatobius longicornis. RNAcentral describes it as "tRNA-Gly". Lineage: Eukaryota; Metazoa; Arthropoda; Chilopoda; Lithobiomorpha; Henicopidae. The record is from RNAcentral.
AUUUACUUAAUAUAACAGUAUAAUUGACUUCCAAUCAAUAAGUCCUAAUAAGGAGUAAAUA